This 443-nucleotide ribosomal RNA is filed under the name uncultured bacterium. RNAcentral's name for it is "partial 16S ribosomal RNA". It matches the Rfam family "Bacterial small subunit ribosomal RNA", at positions 338 to 795 of the family's 1533-position model. The record is from RNAcentral.
CCUACGGGGGGCAGCAGUGGGGAAUAUUGGGCAAUGGGCGCAAGCCUGACCCAGCAACGCCGCGUGAAGGAAGAAGGCCCUCGGGUUGUAAACUUCUUUUAUUCGGGACGAAACAAAUGACGGUACCGAAUGAAUAAGCCACGGCUAACUACGUGCCAGCAGCCGCGGUAAUCCGUAGGUGGCAAGCGUUAUCCGGAUUUACUGGGUGUAAAGGGCGUGUAGGCGGGAGCGCAAGUCAGAUGUGAAAACGCAGGGCUCAACCCUGAGCCUGCAUUUGAAACUGUGUUUCUUGAGUGCUGGAGCGGCAAGCGGAAUGCCGUGUGUAGCGGUGAAAGGCGUAGAUAUACGGAGGAAAACCAGUGGCGAAGGCGGAUUGCUGGACAGUAACUGACGCUGAGGCGCGAAAGCGUGGGGAGCAAACAGGAUUAGAUACCCGAGUAGUC